UACUAUCCUGCUGCGUUCUUCUCUCAAUAAAAAAACCCUGCUGCGUUCUGAUUUGACGAACCAGCCCUCCCACGGUUCACCCGUCUCCACCGUCCAUUCUUACCCGAUCCAACGGUUCCUGCUCAUUCUAUCCUCUGUCUCUGCUUUCCCUGCUUCUUAUCCUCUCACUGUCACGAACGCCAGCACCAUGCCAGCAGCUGCCGCGCCCAAUCGUCGGACGCCCUCGCCCCCACCUCCCACCGCAGCGGCGGGGCAGCACACCGCAGUGGAGGCCGAGCACCCAUGGCGUCGCCCGAGCUCACCUCCUAGCCGCCGUUCCCCUUCCAAUUUGUGUGGAUCCGGCCGAAUCUGGAGGCCAGCGCCCCGUUCCGGACCUCCCCACCUUGCCUGGGUCGUCAGCCAUCGCGGCGCCGUCAUCUCACUCGCGUAAUCUAGGGCCACCGCUGCGUGGGCUCCUCUGCGCCUGGAGGAGACAACCCCACACCGUUGCCUCCCCACACUAGCAGCAGCAGCGAACGCGUCGGCAAGGUCGUCUCCGGCGGCGUCUUUAUUUUCUUGAAAUCAUUUUAAAGAAGUUUGCAGAUCUAUGGCCAGAAAAGCCAUGGCGAUGAACUCCGAUUGACUUCCCGUGAGCGCUGGGCGGCGCUUCAUGUGGUGGAUGCAGAUUAGUACAGCUCCGGACAGAGUAGUAGGCCAGAUCGGGAAAAAUAUGAUUUCAAGUUGUUUGCUGUGUAUUUCUUCCUUUUGAUAAAAAUAUGUUAUCUGUUUGGUA
This is a long non-coding RNA of Aegilops tauschii subsp. strangulata, 772 nucleotides long. RefSeq lists it as uncharacterized. The record is from RefSeq and is a predicted model, not a curated record. NCBI's taxonomy places the organism in Eukaryota, Viridiplantae, Streptophyta, Magnoliopsida, Poales, Poaceae.